AGUCGAACGGCAGCACGGGCUUCGGCCUGGUGGCGAGUGGCGAACGGGUGAGUAAUACAUCGGAACGUGCCCUGUAGUGGGGGAUAACUAGUCGAAAGAUUAGCUAAUACCGCAUACGACCUGAGGGUGAAAGCGGGGGACCGCAAGGCCUCGCGCUACAGGAGCGGCCGAUGUCUGAUUAGCUAGUUGGUGGGGUAAAAGCCUACCAAGGCGACGAUCAGUAGCUGGUCUGAGAGGACGAUCAGCCACACUGGGACUGAGACACGGCCCAGACUCCUACGGGAGGCAGCAGUGGGGAAUUUUGGACAAUGGGGGCAACCCUGAUCCAGCAAUGCCGCGUGUGUGAAGAAGGCCUUCGGGUUGUAAAGCACUUUUGUCCGGAAAGAAAUGGCUCUGGUUAAUACCCGGGGUCGAUGACGGUACCGGAAGAAUAAGCACCGGCUAACUACGUGCCAGCAGCCGCGGUAAUACGUAGGGUGCGAGCGUUAAUCGGAAUUACUGGGCGUAAAGCGUGCGCAGGCGGUUUUGUAAGACAGGCGUGAAAUCCCCGAGCUCAACUUGGGAAUGGCGCUUGUGACUGCAAGGCUAGAGUAUGUCAGAGGGGGGUAGAAUUCCACGUGUAGCAGUGAAAUGCGUAGAGAUGUGGAGGAAUACCGAUGGCGAAGGCAGCCCCCUGGGACGUCACUGACGCUCAUGCACGAAAGCGUGGGGAGCAAACAGGAUUAGAUACCCUGGUAGUCCACGCCCUAAACGAUGUCAACUAGUUGUUGGGGAUUCAUUUCUUCAGUAACGUAGCUAACGCGUGAAGUUGACCGCCUGGGGAGUACGGUCGCAAGAUUAAAACUCAAAGGAAUUGACGGGGACCCGCACAAGCGGUGGAUGAUGUGGAUUAAUUCGAUGCAACGCGAAAACCUUACCUACCCUUGA
Molecule: ribosomal RNA, 927 nt
Filed under: uncultured soil bacterium
Lineage: Bacteria
Description: bacterial SSU rRNA
Rfam family: Bacterial small subunit ribosomal RNA
Source: RNAcentral